GACGAACGCUGGCGGCGUGCCUAAUACAUGCAAGUUGAGCGCUGAAGGUUGGUACUUGUACCGACUGGAUGAGCAGCGAACGGGUGAGUAACGCGUGGGGAAUCUGCCUUUGAGCGGGGGACAACAUUUGGAAACGAAUGCUAAUACCGCAUAAAAACUUUAAACACAAGUUUUAAGUUUGAAAGAUGCAAUUGCAUCACUCAAAGAUGAUCCCGCGUUGUAUUAGCUAGUUGGUGAGGUAAAGGCCCACCAAGGCGAUGAUACAUAGCCGACCUGAGAGGGUGAUCGGCCACAUUGGGACUGAGACACGGCCCAAACUCCUACGGGAGGCAGCAGUAGGGAAUCUUCGGCAAUAGACGAAAGUCUGACCGAGCAACGCCGCGUGAGUGAAGAAGGUUUUCGGAUCGUAAAACUCUGUUGGUAGAGAAGAACGUUGGUGAGAGUGGAAAGCUCAUCAAGUGACGGUAACUACCCAGAAAGGGACGGCUAACUACGUG
RNAcentral lists this ribosomal RNA (497 nucleotides) under uncultured bacterium. Its description in RNAcentral is "partial 16S ribosomal RNA". It matches the Rfam family "Bacterial small subunit ribosomal RNA", at positions 28 to 507 of the family's 1533-position model. The record is from RNAcentral.